Folsomia candida is the source of this 632-nucleotide long non-coding RNA. RefSeq lists it as uncharacterized. The record is from RefSeq and is a predicted model, not a curated record. The transcript has 2 exons. Lineage: Eukaryota; Metazoa; Arthropoda; Collembola; Entomobryomorpha; Isotomidae.
GCUAAUUACACUUUUGCGACUAGGACAAGAUCUCCAUCAAUAAAUAUCUAUCUCCACAAUUUGAAACAUAUGUGAGUUAAAGUUGUAACUAAAACAUUUAAAAAUAUGGCCGAUAAUUCAAAAAACGAUUGUGAGAAAGGAUUGCCAUCAAAGCUUCCUGAAGAAAAUAAUUCCGAGAUCCUGCAAGGUUCUGGAAGGGAUUUCAGAGCUAUUUUGGUGAAUUUGAUUUUGUUCAUGGCCGUGAUUGGGGUCAUUUUUCUUGCCCUUAAAUUUCCAGGAGCGGAUGGUCCACCGGAGGACAUGUCUGAGGGAAUAAGAAAUGUUCACCCUGAUACAAUUUUGAGCUACUUUGAAGCUGGAAGUAGAUGGAAAAUUGAUUGAAAGAUUAUAUGCUUAAGCAUCUACAUACAUUCAUAAAUAUCUACACACAUGUAAAUAUGUAUGUAUGUCUGCGUACGUAAAUGUUUCAUGUGUAAUGUCAUUUCACUCAAGAGUUGAGUAAUAAUAAUAAAUAAGUAAUUGUUUAAUUUGAUGAUGGACACGUGUAUGAUAUAACAUUAAACACACAAUAUGUACUAAAUACGAAAAUUUUUCAUUGAGAGAAAUAAAUUCAAGUACAUUAAGCAGAAAAA